GGGGAGGGGCCUUGAUUGCGUCAGGUCUUGACAGCGCUGGCUGAUGAGUGUCUUCUGGCUGCUGGUGCACGUUUACCGUGGAUUUUUUGAAAGCAACGUGACAUGGUUCUUGUGAAGAUGCAGUGGAAAUACUCAAAAGCCAACUGAUAUUAGGUCACUGGUGCUCAGAGGGCUCCCGAUUCUCCUUGGUGACAACCCCACAGAUUUCUUCAAAGCAUGCUUUGUAAGUAACUUAUUUUCUCAAAGGUUAUCUUAAAGGACCAUGAAAACAUAAUCAUUUUAUUAAUAGAUAGUCCUUGUAUUUGAUAAAACGUUUACACAUUGC
Molecule: long non-coding RNA, 325 nt
Filed under: Sinocyclocheilus anshuiensis
Lineage: Eukaryota; Metazoa; Chordata; Actinopteri; Cypriniformes; Cyprinidae
Description: lncRNA (ENSSANG00000018061.1)
Source: RNAcentral